UGGGGGAUAUUGCACAAUGGGCGAAAGCCUGAUGCAGCGACGCCGCGUGGGGGAUGAAGGCUUUCGGGUUGUAAACCUCUUUCGCUAUCGAACAAGGCCCGCUUAGGGUGGGUUGAGGGUAGGUGGAGAAGAAGCGCCGGCUAACUACGUGCCAGCAGCCGCGGUAAUACGUAGGGCGCGAGCGUUGUCCGGAAUUAUUGGGCGUAAAGGGCUUGUAGGCGGCUUGUUGCGCCUGCUGUGAAAACGCGGGGCUUAACUUCGCGCGUGCAGUGGGUACGGGCAGGCUUGAGUGUGGUAGGGGUGACUGGAAUUCCAGGUGUAGCGGUGGAAUGCGCAGAUAUCUGGGGGAACCCCGAUGGCGAAGGCAGGUCACUGGGCCAUUACUGACGCUGAGGAGCGAAAGCAUGGGUAGCGAACAGG
This 420-nucleotide ribosomal RNA is filed under the name bacterium. RNAcentral describes it as "partial 16S ribosomal RNA". It matches the Rfam family "Bacterial small subunit ribosomal RNA", at positions 355 to 776 of the family's 1533-position model. The record is from RNAcentral.